UGGGGAAUUUUGGACAAUGGGCGCAAGCCUGAUCCAGCCAUUCCGCGUGAGUGAAGAAGGCCUUCGGGUUGUAAACCACUGUUGCCCGGGACGAAACUCCUUUUUCGAGAGGAUUGACGGUACCGGGUGAGGAAGCAUCGGCUAACUCUGUGCCAGCAGCCGCGGUAAUACGGAGGAUGCAAGCGUUAUCCGGAUUUAUUAGGUAUAAAGGGUGCGUAGGCGGACCUGUUAGUCAGUGGUGAAAUACUACGGCUUAACCGUAGAACUGCCAUUGAUACUGCAGGUCUUGAGUACAGUUGAGGUAGGCGGAAUGUGUGGUGUAGCGGUGAAAUGCUUAGAUAUCACACAGAACACCGAUUGCGAAGGCAGCUUACUAAGUUGUAACUGACGCUGAUGCACGAAAGCAUGGGGAGCAAACAGG
Molecule: ribosomal RNA, 421 nt
Filed under: uncultured bacterium
Lineage: Bacteria
Description: bacterial SSU rRNA
Rfam family: Bacterial small subunit ribosomal RNA
Source: RNAcentral